This 497-nucleotide ribosomal RNA is filed under the name uncultured bacterium. RNAcentral's name for it is "partial 16S ribosomal RNA". It matches the Rfam family "Bacterial small subunit ribosomal RNA", at positions 28 to 507 of the family's 1533-position model. The record is from RNAcentral.
GACGAACGCUGGCGGCGUGCCUAAUACAUGCAAGUUGAGCGAUGAAGAUUGGUGCUUGCACCAAUUUGAAGAGCAGCGAACGGGUGAGUAACGCGUGGGGAAUCUGCCUUUGAGCGGGGGACAACAUUUGGAAACGAAUGCUAAUACCGCAUAAUAACUUUAAACAUAAGUUUUAAGUUUGAAAGAUGCAAUUGCAUCACUCAAAGAUGAUCCCGCGUUGUAUUAGCUAGUUGGUGAGGUAAAGGCUCACCAAGGCGAUGAUACAUAGCCGACCUGAGAGGGUGAUCGGCCACAUUGGGACUGAGACACGGCCCAAACUCCUACGGGAGGCAGCAGUAGGGAGUCUUCGGCAAUGGACGAAAGUCUGACCGAGCAACGCCGCGUGAGUGAAGAAGGUUUUCGGAUCGUAAAACUCUGUUGGUAGAGAAGAACGUUGGUGAGAGUGGAAAGCUCAUCAAGUGACGGUAACUACCCAGAAAGGGACGGCUAACUACGUG